Molecule: long non-coding RNA, 719 nt
Organism: Aquila chrysaetos chrysaetos
Lineage: Eukaryota; Metazoa; Chordata; Aves; Accipitriformes; Accipitridae
Exons: 3
Source: RefSeq, a predicted model, not a curated record
GGGGGGGAUGCUGGUGCGCCUGGGCUGGGGAGCUGCGAGCUCGGCAUCGCGGCCGCUCGGCCGGCACUGCGGACAGCUUGCUGCAGCGUCCGGGGAGGAAACCGAACGGCACCUUCCAAAUAUAGCUCCUACCGCGCAUCUGCCCGCCGAGCGCUGCAGGGGGAAGAAAGAGAAACACAAUCCCUUCUCAUCUUCUCUGGUGGCCUUGCCUAACUUCUCAGUGCCUCAGUUUGCCAGGUUCUGGGAUCGUAAAGCCCUGUAAAAGACUCGGAGAUCCUGGCACUCGGGGGGAGGAAGGGAGAGCCCCUUGCUCUGGGCACAGACCACAGUCAGGCUCGGCGGAGUCUGGGAGCAGGGACCACUCACUGGGAGCCCGGAAAAUUCAGGAGUAUGAAACCUGCACAAGGAGAAAAAGCAUUCAGGUUCCCCAGGACUUUGGGCAGGAAGGCAGACCCUGACCCCAGCUGUCCUGUCCCAGCAAGAAGCUGGCCGCUGUCUGUUGGCCAUACAGGACCUGGAGGCUUGGAGUGACGGCUGUCCCCAGAGCAUCGCUCUCAGCUCAGCAGCGUUCCCCGCACCAAUUGGAGAGAGAAUUAUCCACUGUUUGUUUGCCCUGAUUUGUUUUUAACAAAACUGUGCUGCUGGCUGUUUAUCACUUCAUUUUCCUCCAGGAGAUGAGGCAAGCGAAGGAGAUCAGCCAGAAUAAAACAUGACCUUUA